Non-coding RNA from Acanthosepion pharaonis, 113 nucleotides. NCBI's taxonomy places the organism in Eukaryota, Metazoa, Mollusca, Cephalopoda, Sepiida, Sepiidae. The record is from the annotation of a GenBank genome assembly.
UACGUUCAUAUCACGUUGGAGCACCGGUUCCCGUACGAUCACCGAAGUUAAGCAACAUCGAGCCUGAUUACUACUUUGAUGGGUGACCGCUUGGGAAUAUAAAGUGCUGUAAG